GGAAACCUCAUGCUUAGCCUGAGAAGUCAGCCACAUCCUCCUGAUGCCAGCUAUGGGGAUCACACAAUAUUGAUUCCACAUCCAUAUAUACCCAGAUGCUGUUGCCAUUUAACAACAUUAAGGAUCAUUCCCCAGUACCAGAAAAAAUAUGCAAGGUGACCAUGCCACACUUCCUCGCUUACACACACAGUAUGCACAAGCACUCGCCAUACACAGACCAGUCACCCACUUCACAUAAGCAUCUUUCCUUGCUCUCUCUUCUCAAGUGCACCUCUCUCACAGAGAUCAUACGCACUCAGAGACCUCCCCAUUCUCUCUCUCUCUCACCCUGCAUAUUUCCCCACACAUGUUAACUUUCUAAAUACAGAGAGUUUCUGAUGUCAGGGAGUAUUGAGCUAUUUGAUUCUUCCACCUUCAUUUUUAACUGAUAAGAGAUCCCGGAGAAGCCUUUUCUAUUUAAGUGUAUUGGCAAAAGACAAGAUGGUGCCCCUCCACCCCAUUCCAUUUUCAAAAGCCAACCAGACUGGCAUCCUUCAACACUGAUGAUGGGACAGCAUCUUCAACAACACCUGAGGGAAGCAGGCUAGCUUAGUGGGUGCAGGGUGCACUCAUGAGCAUCUGCUGACUGAGACUGCUGCCUCAGUCUCUUGAAUAAUAGGGUCACCCCUGAUAUGUGUGCCUACUUUGUCCUUGCUUGCUUUGACCAUGCCCACUUUUGUUUUGGGCCCACCCACCACUGGCAUGUGAGGACCUUGGAAAGUUGGCAAUGAGGGAAUGAAGUCCUCAGGCUGAAAAAGGGUUCUCCAUUUAUGACUUAAAUACUAUAGAUUAUCUUUCUUUGCUCAGCCAGCACUGGUUUUUCGAAGGAAUGGUUCUGAAUUUGAUCUCAGUGUGUAAUGUGCGUUGUUUAAUACUACGUUUGUUAUAGAACUUUAAAGAUACAAAUGGCUUAACUGAGGAAGACAUCCCCAACUGACAUUUUAUAAUAUCUAUUUGUGCUGUUGUUUGUAAAUAACUUAAACACACCAGAAAUGUAUUUUUGAGUGAACCCAUUUAUUUUAUAGGCAGCUGCAUUCAGUUGUUUUGGAUAAUAAAAAAAAAUGCACACACAAUCAGACAUACACUACAUAAUGUUGAGGUAUAUAUAAUUUUGGAAGUUCUUGUUCUUGCUGCUUUGAUAUCUAGAGUGUCUCUAUAGGCCGAAUUUUCAAUCUAACAACUUUGAGAGAGUAAUCAGAGGGCUUGAAGGGCACCCAGACCACCCCAUUUUCAAUCUCAUAGGGAGCGUUGUUCCUUGGGUCAUACUGACCUCCUGAGUAGUAAAUCCCAUUGAGAUUAGCAGCUUGGCAAUUAUUGUACCACCAGCCACCUCCAUAUAUCUCAGCACAGUUCUCCUCCCAUUGGUCAUUGUCUCUAUCAAAAGUACUAAAUUUCAUGUUAUUGUGAGUGGUGUAUUCAACCCCAUCUUCCUCUGAACCCCUGAUAAGAGCAUCACCUGCUGUCCCCUCAUAAUCAGAGACACUGAGCCUAUAGCCUUCUUCUUCAGAGCUUAUGUGUAUGUUAUAUUCUGCAUAACCUUUAUUGCCCUCCCAGUCCUCUACUUCGACUCGAAGGACAGUGUCCCUCUGGGUCAGGAGAUGGAGAUUUUCAUUGCCCAACCAGAACUCUCCUUUCCCAUCCACGCUGCCAAAACCAUUCUUGUAGUCUUCCCAGGUCCGGUUAAAAUUCAGCGCCCCAUCCAAUCUCUGUUGGAUCAGAAGCCAUCCUCCCAAAGUGGUCUCUUGGUCGCAAUAAACUGAAAAAACCUUAGUGGUUCCUGCUGGCUUGAUUCUGAAAAUGCCACUUUGGGCACCAGAAGUGUGUUUCUGGUGGAUAUCCUCACAGUCUAAAAAAACAAAGUUGAUCUGGUUGACAGAAGUUUUCGGUUAAGCUUUAUUACAAGCUCACAGGAAUCCAAACAGUAAUCAUGCUCAAGUCAACUGGCUACACUUAAUUUGGGGCUGCAGUGGAACGAAUCCUUGUACUCUCCCCCCACCCCAAACUGAUUGCUUACAUGCACAUUUUCAUUACCCAUGACGUUAGGUACACAACUGCCUUGUAAUCCAAUUACUCAUGGCGAGAAACCAUGUCCCCCACCUUUCCAAAAUGGCAACCAACAGACACAUUGCUCUUAUUAUUUAAACAAUGGCAUGGACUGCACUCGUUUAACCUGUGUGUCAGUUUGGUUGCACACUUCACUGCUGCUCCCUCAAAAAUUAUUUUCCAUGCAGUGGGUGGGUACCUGUCCCGGUGUAGCUUUCUCCCUGCUUCACUCCUCCUGCACUCAAGCUGCGUGCAUGAAAAUCAGGUCUGUCUUCUCCACUCUCGUCAUGUUGCAGCUCAACUGAUGGGAUUUUUAUUGACUUGGUUUCGAAAGUGGAGCCCCCUUUGUUGAAGCCACUAGAACUGCUGCUGCUGCUGCUGCUGCUGCUGCCGGACACCGUCCUGGAAUGGGAUGUGCUGCCACUUGUAUGAGAAUGGAAGUCGGGGGAGGGCUGGUCAAAGAUGGAGAAGUCGUCGGUUUCUCCCUCCCCAAGGUCAGAGAAAAUGUCGCGUCCUUCAAAGGUCGAUGUGUGGGUGC
Molecule: long non-coding RNA, 2620 nt
Organism: Podarcis raffonei (Aeolian wall lizard)
Lineage: Eukaryota; Metazoa; Chordata; Lepidosauria; Squamata; Lacertidae
Exons: 2
Source: RefSeq, a predicted model, not a curated record